UAGGGAAUCUUCGGCAAUGGACGAAAGUCUGACCGAGCAACGCCGCGUGAGUGAAGAAGGUUUUCGGAUCGUAAAACUCUGUUGUUAGAGAAGAACAAGGACGUUAGUAACUGAACGUCCCCUGACGGUAUCUAACCAGAAAGCCACGGCUAACUACGUGCCAGCAGCCGCGGUAAUACGUAGGUGGCAAGCGUUGUCCGGAUUUAUUGGGCGUAAAGCGAGCGCAGUCGGUUUCUUAAGUCUGAUGUGAAAGCCCCCGGCUCAACCGGGGAGGGUCAUUGGAAACUGGGAGACUUGAGUGCAGAAGAGGAGAGUGGAAUUCCAUGUGUAGCGGUGAAAUGCGUAGAUAUAUGGAGGAACACCAGUGGCGAAGGCGGCUCUCUGGUCUGUAACUGACGCUGAGGCUCGAAAGCGUGGGGAGCAAACAGG
Molecule: ribosomal RNA, 429 nt
Filed under: Gemmatimonadota bacterium
Lineage: Bacteria; Pseudomonadati; Gemmatimonadota
Description: Gemmatimonadetes bacterium partial 16S ribosomal RNA
Rfam family: Bacterial small subunit ribosomal RNA
Source: RNAcentral